AACACAUGCAAGGUCGAGGGGCGAGCGGGUCGUAGCGAAUAGAUGCCGGCGACCGGCGAAAGGGUGAGUAACGCGUGAGCAACAUGCCCGAUACUGGGGGAUAGUCAUUAGAAAUGAUGCGUAAUACCCCGUAACACAUUGUCCCGCAUGAGAUGAUGUUGAAAGAUUGAUUGGUAUCGGAUUGGCUCGCGUGCCAUUAGCUAGAUGGCGGGGUAACGGCCCACCAUGGCGACGAUGGCUAGGGGGUUCUGAGAGGAAGGUCCCCACAUUGGAACUGAGACACGGUCCAGACUCCUACGGGAGGCAGCAGUGAGGAAUAUUGGACAAUGGCCGGAAGGCUGAUCCAGCCAUGCCGCGUGCGGGAAGACGGCCCUAUGGGUUGUAAACCGCUUUUGCGGGGGAGCAAUAAGAUCUACGUGUAGGUCGAUGAGAGUACCCUGCGAAUAAGCAUCGGCUAACUCCGUGCC
Molecule: ribosomal RNA, 467 nt
Filed under: uncultured bacterium
Lineage: Bacteria
Description: bacterial SSU rRNA
Rfam family: Bacterial small subunit ribosomal RNA
Source: RNAcentral